RNAcentral lists this ribosomal RNA (468 nucleotides) under uncultured bacterium. RNAcentral's name for it is "partial 16S ribosomal RNA". It matches the Rfam family "Bacterial small subunit ribosomal RNA", at positions 28 to 507 of the family's 1533-position model. The record is from RNAcentral.
GACGAACGCUGGCGGCGUGCUUAACACAUGCAAGUCGAACGGACAGGCCCUGCUUUUGUUGGGUGCUCGAGUGGCGAACGCGUGAGUAACACGUGAGUAACCUGCCCUUGACUUUGGGAUAACUUCAGGAAACUGGGGCUAAUACCCGAUAGGAGCUCCUGCUGCGUGUGGUGGGUUGGAAAGAUUCGGCGGUUGGGUAUCGACUCGCGGCUUAUCCGCUUGUUGGUGUGGUAGUUGCUUACCAAGGGUUUGACGGGUAGCCGGCCUGAGAAGGUGACAGGCGACACUGGGACUGAGGGACGGCACAGACUGGUACGGGAGGGAGCAGUGGGGAAUAUUGCACAAUGGGCGGAAGGCGGAUGAAGCAAGGCCGCGUGCGGGAUGACGGCCUUCGGGUUGAAAACCGCUUUCGCCUGUGACGAAGCGUGAGUGACGGUAAUGGGUAAAGAAGCACCGGCUAACUACGUG